AGUAUGGACCAGUAUGGACCAGUUUGGACCAGUAUAGACCAGUAUAGAACAGUAUAGACCAGUACAGACGAGUACAGACCAGUAUGGACCAGUAUGGACCAGUAUGGACCAGUAUGGACCAGUACGGACCAGUAUAGACCAGUUUGGGCCAGUAUAGACCAGUCCGGACCAGUAUGGGCCAGUA
This is a long non-coding RNA of Lepidothrix coronata (blue-crowned manakin), 184 nucleotides long. RefSeq lists it as uncharacterized. The record is from RefSeq and is a predicted model, not a curated record. The transcript is spliced from 3 exons. Lineage: Eukaryota; Metazoa; Chordata; Aves; Passeriformes; Pipridae.